RNAcentral lists this ribosomal RNA (592 nucleotides) under Candida albicans. RNAcentral's name for it is "LSU rRNA". It matches the Rfam family "Eukaryotic large subunit ribosomal RNA", at positions 50 to 657 of the family's 3401-position model. The record is from RNAcentral. Lineage: Eukaryota; Fungi; Ascomycota; Pichiomycetes; Serinales; Debaryomycetaceae.
GCGGAGGAAAAGAAACCACCAGGGAUUGCCUCAGUAGCGGCGAGUGAAGCGGCAAAAGCUCAAAUUUGAAAUCUGGCGUCUUUGGCGUCCGAGUUGUAAUUUGAAGAAGGUAUCUUUGGGCCCGGCUCUUGUCUAUGUUCCUUGGAACAGGACGUCACAGAGGGUGAGAAUCCCGUGCGAUGAGAUGACCCGGGUCUGUGUAAAGUUCCUUCGACGAGUCGAGUUGUUUGGGAAUGCAGCUCUAAGUGGGUGGUAAAUUCCAUCUAAAGCUAAAUAUUGGCGAGAGACCGAUAGCGAACAAGUACAGUGAUGGAAAGAUGAAAAGAACUUUGAAAAGAGAGUGAAAAAGUACGUGAAAUUGUUGAAAGGGAAGGGCUUGAGAUCAGACUUGGUAUUUUGCAUGCUGCUCUCUCGGGGGCGGCCGCUGCGGUUUACCGGGCCAGCAUCGGUUUGGAGCGGCAGGAUAAUGGCGGAGGAAUGUGGCACGGCUUCUGCUGUGUGUUAUAGCCUCUGACGAUACUGCCAGCCUAGACCGAGGACUGCGGUUUUUACCUAGGAUGUUGGCAUAAUGAUCUUAAGUCGCCCGUCUUGA